CACACAGUAACAGCUAAGGUUAGCGCUGGCAGAGGCAGCCCUGCUAAAAGUUCACAAAGUGUGAGCUUCAGGAUGCUUUGCUUGCCUCGCCCUUCCAAGGCCCUGAAAAGCAACGUCCAGCAAUGGCUUCACAUGGCCCUAUUUUCAUACAACGUGCAAAGUAAGACAGUUUAACUGUGUUUGCUCUGACAACGUUGAGAUCCAGCUAAGGGGAAGUUGAGGUGGAGAUGCAUUUAUGUAGGGAAUAGUGGGAAGUGUCCAUAAGGUUCAUGGUCACUUCUGCCUAUGAUGAAGUCAUGGGCAGCUGCUCUGGGAUAGGAAUGGCUUCCACCACGCACUGUAACAAAUCAUUCAGCAUCCCGACACCAGGGUGUUGCAGGACACGUGCAUACGCAACUCGGUUCCGUAAUCUUGUGGGAGAAAAUUCGCCUCCACGGCACCUGAAGAUGUUGACGGCUUUGGCAUUUUGCAGCGGAUGUAAAUUGUCUUCUGAGAUCAGACCAAAAGCAGGAAUUCAUUAAGAUAAAGAAAUACAUUUGAAAUAGAAAUAAUGAAUCAGUUCCUUCAUUGUCUGUGUAGAGUGAAUCAUAAGGAUAUUUUAAAAGAUUUACAUGCUUUGCUGACUUGAAAUAAACUAUCAACAUCUAUGAAGACAAUUAUGAUAGGCAAGAUAAUGAUCCCCAUCCUAAUCCCUAUGACUGUGACUAUGUUACCUUCUAUGGAAAAGGAGAAUUAAGCAGCACGUGGAACUCAGUUUGCUAAUCAGCUGGCCUGAAGAAGAGGAGAGAAUCCUGGAUGACCUGGGUGGGGUCCUUGUUAGUAGAAGUGGAGAGGCAGGAGAGUCCAAGCCAGCGGAGACUGCAAGGUGCUGCGCCACUGGCUUUGAAGGCAGGAAGAAGGCACAGCCAAGGAACGCAGGAGACCACUAAAAGCUGACAAAAGAAAGGAAAAGGCCUCUGCCCUGGGGCCUCCGGAAGGAACCAAGCCCUGUUGAUACUUCGAUUUUAUCCCACAGAUGCCAAAACCCCCACUGGAGGACUUGUGACCAGCAGAAAUGUAAAGGAAUAAAUGUGUGUCACCUUUUUAGUAACCUUUUACUGUAGCAAACAGGAAAGGAUACAAUACAAUUGUAUACCCGAUGCUACAAUAAUACAGCACCAUAAACUACGGUGACAGAGUUAGUCUGCAGUUAACUGACUAGGCUAUCAAGAAUUCAAGAAGCACCUGAGAUUAGAACUUGC
RNAcentral lists this long non-coding RNA (1241 nucleotides) under Callithrix jacchus (white-tufted-ear marmoset). Its description in RNAcentral is "lncRNA (ENSCJAG00000085493.1)". Lineage: Eukaryota; Metazoa; Chordata; Mammalia; Primates; Cebidae. The record is from RNAcentral.